GGCGAACCGUGCGAACGUUGUUCGGAUUCACUGGGCUUAAAGGGCGCGUAGGCGGCUCGCCAAGUCGGGGGUGAAAUCUUUCGGCUCAACCGGAAAACAGCUUCCGAUACUGGCGGGCUCGAGUGGGGUAGGGGCGACUGGAACUUCCGGUGGAGCGGUGAAAUGCGUAGAUAUCUGGAGGAACACCGGUGGCGAAGGCGGCAUCCUGGACCAACACUGACACUGAGGAGCGAAAGCCAGGGGAGCAAACGGG
RNAcentral lists this ribosomal RNA (253 nucleotides) under uncultured bacterium. RNAcentral describes it as "partial 16S ribosomal RNA". It matches the Rfam family "Bacterial small subunit ribosomal RNA", at positions 524 to 776 of the family's 1533-position model. The record is from RNAcentral.